Homo sapiens (human) is the source of this 1539-nucleotide RNA transcript. It is a transcript of the gene named ANKRD62P1-PARP4P3 readthrough, transcribed pseudogene, with no coding region annotated. The transcript has 9 exons. NCBI's taxonomy places the organism in Eukaryota, Metazoa, Chordata, Mammalia, Primates, Hominidae. The record is from RefSeq and is marked validated.
CCUGGAAACUGAGCUCCGUUAUGAAAGAGAGGCUCUCAAAGAAAAGACGUUGGGUAUAGAACACAUGCAAGGAGUCCUAAGCCGAACACAGUGUCCAUUGAAGGACAUUGAACACAUGUACCAAAAUGACCAACCUAUUUUGGAAAAAUAUGUGAGAAAGCAGCAGUCUAUAGAGGAUGGACUAUUUCAACUACAAAGCCAAAAUCUGUUGUAUCAACAGCAAUGUAAUGAUGCUCACAAGAAAGCUGACAAUCAGGAAAAAACAAUAAUUAAUAUCCAAGUCAAAUGUGAAGAUACUGUAGAAAAACUUCAAGCUGAGUGUAGAAAGCUAGAAGAGAACAAUAAGGGGUUGAUGAAGGAAUGCACUCUUUUAAAAGAAAGACAAUGCCAAUAUGAAAAAGAGAAAGAAAAAGGAGAAGUAGUCGUGAGAUAGCUUCAACGAGAAGUGGGUGAUGCCCUGAACAAACAUUUGCUGUCAGAAGCUAGGCUAGAGAUUUCAUCACAACGUCGUGUUAAUUUAGAAGAUGAGACACGAAGUUCAAAAAAGAAAUUAGGCCAGAGGAGAAGUCAAUUGCAAGAAAUGCAGGAUCAACGCACAGAGACUCUAAGAUGUGCUGAGGAGAUGCCAGACCACAUGCAAAAAUGCAGCAGGUGUACAAGGAAACAUAACUGUAGAAGUAGCUGAAGAGUUACUGCGCAUUUCUGUGUCAUCUACAUGCCAUGAAAGUCUUAAAAUCAAUUGUCAAUUUCUACAAAAUACCCGCUUGGAUUUGAACUGUGAUUGCAUUAUGUCAUGAGAAAGAAUGAACAUCUUAACAAUGAUGAGUCUCUCAACUCAUGAAUAAGCUCGAAGUUGUUUGAUCGUCUGAAGGCUUCUUCUCUCAACUCGUCAAAGUCAUUCUCCGCCCAGCUUUGUUCCGUUGCUGGUUUACUCUUCUAAGCUAUUUGUAACAAGAGCCUAAAAACUGGGUUUCCUUCAUUGAACUUCAUGCCUCUCUGGUUAUUGAAGAUGGCAAGCGAGGGGCACUCUGGAUACAGGUAUAAAAUGAAGAGAAUGUCUCCUGGACCUAAUUGCCACAAUGAGAUACUACAGUUUAUUCGCACCAGGGUGGAAAAAAAGGGAAUAGUGUUCAAAUCACUGAUGGAACUGGAUGACGCUUCUAUUUCCAGAAUAUUCCCUGGGCUUUUGAAGCAAUAAAGAAAGCAAGUGAAUGGGUAAGAAGAACUGAAGGACAGUACCCAUCUAUCUGCCCAUGGCUUGAACUGGGGAAUGACUGGGACUCUGCCACCAAGCAGUUACUAGGACUCCAGCUCAUAAACACUGUGUCCCCUCUUCGUAGAGUCCUUCAUUACAGUCAAGACUAAGUCAAAUGAAACUGAAUUUUAAACUUUUUGCAUGCUUCUAUGUAGAAAAUAAUCAAAUGAUAAUAGAUACUUAUAAUGAAACUCCAUUAAGGUUUUAUUCAGUGUAGCAAUUAGUGUCUUUGAAAAUAAAGUGGAAGCAGAAUUACUUUAAUCAACUAACAAGCAAUAAUGAAA